RNAcentral lists this ribosomal RNA (468 nucleotides) under uncultured bacterium. Its description in RNAcentral is "partial 16S ribosomal RNA". It matches the Rfam family "Bacterial small subunit ribosomal RNA", at positions 28 to 507 of the family's 1533-position model. The record is from RNAcentral.
GACGAACGCUGGCGGCGUGCUUAACACAUGCAAGUCGAACGGCAAGGCCCUGCUUUUGUGGGGUGCUCGAGUGGCGAACGGGUGAGUAACACGUGAGUAACCUGCCCUUGACUUUGGUAUAACUUCAGGAAACUGGGGCUAAUACCGGAUAGGAGCUCCUGCUGCAUGGUGGGGGUUGGAUAGUUUCGGCGGUUGGGGAUGGACUCGCGGCUUAUCAGCUUGUUGGUGGGGUAGUGGCUUACCAAGGCUUUGACGGGUAGCCGGCCUGAGAGGGUGACCGGCCACAAUGGGACUGAGAGACGGCGCAGACUGCUACGGGAGGCAGCAGUGGGGAAUAUGGCACAAUGGGCCGGAGCCGGAGGCAGCAGCGCCGCGUGUGGGAUGACGGCCUUCGGGGUGUGAACCGCUUUCGCCUGUGACGAAGCGGGAGUGACGGUAAUGGAUAAAGAAGCACCGGCUAACUACGAG